UAUAGGUGGACUGGGAGGCCCCCUCCCGGUGCGCACGCCACCGCCCACUCCCCGGGUUCCCACUCCCCCGGAGCUCAUGUGACACCAGCUUAAGCCGAAGGGGACUAAAGCCGGGGGACGCCUUGCAGGGGACCGAGCGGCAGCGCUCCCGGGAGCCCCGGGGACUGGACCGGUUCCCUGCCGGCGGGAAGGCCCGGCACUUGGGCGCACUGGCGUUCCUGCGCCCCCACACGCGCUCCAAACCUCGGCCCCACGCGGACUGCAGAAGGGAAGCCGGAGAAACAUUUCAUUUUCUCUUUCUCGGGGAACCUGGGUCUGGACCAGUCCCCACCCUCGGAAGGGUGGAGAGGGCCCGCGGUAGAAAGGAAUUUCCUGGGAAUUUCCUGAUUCCACCACCGUUCCCGCCCCGCCCCGCCCCGCCCCACACCGCCCCACACCACCCGGCUGCUCCUUGCCCUGCGGAAGCCAGGUUUGUAGCGGGCAAACCGUUCUCAGGCCACCGGUUCCCGCUUCGCCAAGGUCCUUUUCAUGCUUCUAUCAGGCCUGGGAGACUGCCCCGCUGAGGGCUUCCAGGAUGGCAGCAGUGACGCCCGGCUUCCCAGGAUCCCCACAGGUGAGCCUUUUGGUGGAGCUGCUGAAAGAAGUGCCAUGCCUCCACCUCCCACUUCCCUCAGCCUCCUCCAUUAUCCAUUCUCCAAGCAGCUGCUUUGUACCGAGGACCAAACCUACGGCCUCAUGCAUGCUAAAUGAGUGAUCUACCACUGAGCCACAGCCCCAUGCCUUGGAUUGACAUUUGAAGUGACACAGAGAAGACAGAGUGCCAGUCCAGGGCCUGGUAGGCAGCAGGCCUCCUCAGUUAUCAAUCCUUGCCCUGCUGUGUGUUGCUGACUCUGCAGAUCCCUAUAGGAAAACACUGAGAGACCUCAGCCAGCUGAAACGUGUUUGGAUCAAUGACAAACUUCAUCAACUCAUGUGGCCUCCAGCCCUCACUAAUGCGUUAGGCAACAGCAGCCUCAGGUUGGCCUUCACAGCCUCCAUUGUCAUGACUGACAUUGCAGACACUAAAACUAGCCAAGAUAAUGACGGGGAUAAAUGGUCCUUUAACCAGAGGCUCCACAUGCUCUGGGAACAUUACCUCAUGCAGGGCAGGCACACACUCCCCCACACCUUUUCAAGUCUUUCUCACACGGGCUUUGUGGAAAGGCCUUCUCCACAGUCUCAGUAACUCUUGCUUCCAGCCUUGUUUGUGGUCCUUGCUGAGAGAACUGCCUCGAGGAAAAGUCUCCUUUCAACAUGGUUGUACAACUCUCUGAGGCCAGCCACGGCCCACCCUCCUGUGAGCAGUCCCUCUACUGACCUACCCCUCCCUGUGCUCAAUGCAAGGAGCAUUGCCAACAGUGUGUUAAAGUGUUUUCAAAUACUAAGAAUAGGAAACGGGGUUUACAUAUAAUUUUGUAGCUAGUACUAUGGCUUACUGAAUUGUUGGUCCCCCCCAUACUGGUGGGCCAAGGCACAAUUUAUA
Nannospalax galili (Upper Galilee mountains blind mole rat) is the source of this 1522-nucleotide long non-coding RNA. RefSeq lists it as uncharacterized. The transcript is spliced from 4 exons. NCBI's taxonomy places the organism in Eukaryota, Metazoa, Chordata, Mammalia, Rodentia, Spalacidae. The record is from RefSeq and is a predicted model, not a curated record.